AUAGGGGAGCCGUAGGGAAACCGAGUCUUAACUGGGCGAAUAAGUUGCAGGGUAUAGACCCGAAACCCGGUGAUCUAGCCAUGGGCAGGUUGAAGGUUGGGUAACACUAACUGGAGGACCGAACCGACUAAUGUUGAAAAAUUAGCGGAUGACUUGUGGCUGGGGGUGAAAGGCCAAUCAAACCGGGAGAUAGCUGGUUCUCCCCGAAAGCUAUUUAGGUAGCGCCUCGUGAACUCAUCUUCGGGGGUAGAGCACUGUUUCGACUAGGGGGUCAUCCCGACUUACCAACUCGAUGCAAACUACGAAUACCGAAGAAUGUUAUCACGGGAGACACACGGCGGGUGCUAACGUUCGUCGUGAAGAGGGAAACAACCCAGACCGCCAGCUAAGGUCCCAAAGUCAUAGUUAAGUGGGAAACGAAGUGGGAAGGCUCAGACAGCCAGGAUGUUGGCUUAGAAGCAGCCAUCAUUUAAAGAAAGCGUAAUAGCUCACUGGUCGAGUCGGCCUGCGCGGAAGAUGUAACGGGGCUAAACUAUGCACCGAAGCUGCGGCAGCGAUAUGUAAAUAUUGUUGGGUAGGGGAGCGUUCUGUAAGCCUGUGAAGGUGUGCUGUGAGGCAUGCUGGAGGUAUCAGAAGUGCGAAUGCUGACAUAAGUAACGAUAAUGCGGGUGAAAAACCCGCACGCCGGAAGACCAAGGGUUCCUGUCCAACGUUAAUCGGGGCAGGGUGAGUCGACCCCUAAGGCGAGGCAGAAAUGCGUAGUCGAUGGGAAACGGGUUAAUAUUCCCGUACUGGUGAUAAUUGCGAUGGGGGGACGGAGAAGGCUAGGCUAUCCGGGCGACGGUUGUCCCGGUUUAAGGAUGUAGGCAGGUGAAUUAGGCAAAUCCGGUUCACUAUAUGCUGAGGU
RNAcentral lists this ribosomal RNA (907 nucleotides) under Providencia sp. MGF014. RNAcentral's name for it is "partial 23S ribosomal RNA". It matches the Rfam family "Bacterial large subunit ribosomal RNA", at positions 657 to 1562 of the family's 2925-position model. Lineage: Bacteria; Pseudomonadati; Pseudomonadota; Gammaproteobacteria; Enterobacterales; Morganellaceae. The record is from RNAcentral.